GUUGAUUACGUCCCUGCCCUUUGUACACACCGCCCGUCGCUACUACCGAUUGAAUGGUUUAGUGAGGCUCUCGGAUUGGCCCCGCUGUGGCUGGCAACAGUCGCGGCGGCGUGCUGAAAAGACAGUCGAACUUGAUCAUUUAGAGGAAGUAAAAGUCGUAACAAGGUUUCCGUAGGUGAACCUGCGGAAGGAUCAUUACUAAAAUAUUCAAGUGUCUCUAAUAAAUCVAAACUGUAAUCUAACGAUAAGCCAGCCAGCACGCAUUGUGCUGCACAACAACAAACUUUUCUCUCGCCCGCAAGGGUGUUUAAAACUAAGACAACUCUCAACGGUGGAUCACUCGGCUCGCGGGUCGAUGAAGGACGCAGCUAACUGCGUUAACUAGUGUGAAUUGCAGAAUACACAGAACAUCAAVCCUCUGAAUGCAAAUUGCGGUCUCGGGUCAAUCUCGGGACCUCGUCUGGCUCAGUGUCUAUUCAAAGCUAUACGCCGUCUUCGCAGACGAGCGAUCGUGACUGCUCGGCUCGAUGAGAGCCGACGGUUUAAGGUAGCAGAGUAGUGUCGUCGCUUCGUGCGGCCGCGCGUUUUGAGCUGAUUCGCGCGGGCUUUGCAGCCGGCUUCUCGAAAAAAAACAUGUACUUUGUGGGGGUAUCUGCUGGUAUCGUCGCUGUAGGCGGCCUAGCGCUCCAGGGCGUGGACCUUCGGGUCGGCCAUGGCAAUACCGUUCACGCACGCGAAGUCGAGGUAGGCUACACGAGUAUCGUCGCAUCAAGCGGCCGCGUUGAGAUGACCCGUCGAUGGGUGUCAGCGCGGGCCUUCGGGUCGGCUUGCAAAACAACCUUUAAGCUUCGCGAUGUUUGGACCUGAGCUCAGGCGGGACUACCCGCUGAAUUUAAGCAUAUUAUUAAGCGGAGGAAAAGAAAGCAACUGCGAUUCCCUUAGUAACGGCGAGUGRAUCGGGAAGAGUCCAGCGCUGAAUCUGGCCGUCCUCGAGGCGGUCCGAAAUGUAGCGURUAGGUUUCUCCUUGUUGGCUUGGCGCGCCCCUUAGUUCUUCUGAUUAAGGCCCCGCCCGUAGACGGUGUUAGGCCGCUUUCGGGGUGCGCUUUGUCGACUUGGURUCUCCUCGGAGUCGGGUUGUUUGAGAAUGCAGCCCRAAGUGGGUGGUAAACUCCACCUAAGACUAAAUAUUCCCGCGAGACCGAUAGCGRACAAGUA
Molecule: ribosomal RNA, 1216 nt
Filed under: Molgula manhattensis
Lineage: Eukaryota; Metazoa; Chordata; Ascidiacea; Stolidobranchia; Molgulidae
Description: eukaryotic LSU rRNA
Rfam family: Eukaryotic large subunit ribosomal RNA (bases 860-1216)
Source: RNAcentral